UUAUUGAGCAAUUUCAAUCCUCCCAGGUAUUAUUACAGAUUUCACAGAUGAGGAAACUGACGCCCAGCGAGGUUAUGACACGCACAGUGAGCAGCCGAACCAGAAAAUCCUUUGACGCUCUUGGCCCUGGGAUAGGAGGUGUGUGGCCCAUUUCCAGGGCGACCUACCCUCGUCUCUGGGUAACCUGGGGCAGAAACUGCCAUUGAAAUGACAUAGGAAUGGCUGUACAGCGCCCCCUGGUGGUCAUUUUGGGGCCAUUUUGCUCUAAUGCUGGGAGGAUUUCCAGAGAGGAAGGGAGAGUGAGAGACAGAAACAUCAAUGA
Long non-coding RNA from Myotis brandtii (Brandt's bat), 322 nucleotides. RefSeq lists it as uncharacterized. The record is from RefSeq and is a predicted model, not a curated record. NCBI's taxonomy places the organism in Eukaryota, Metazoa, Chordata, Mammalia, Chiroptera, Vespertilionidae. The transcript has 3 exons.